GAUUCACAUCUCCCAUCUCACGCUCACUCCAGGGCAUAUGCUCAUUGAGUGGAAUGGUGGGUGGAAUCGCCCGCACUAUUUACAGGUAUCUUGUUGUUGUUGUUUUUUUUUUUUUUUUUGCCGAGUGUGUAUAGUUGAAUUCGCAUAAGUUAAAUGCGCGUAUGAUGCGACUCACCUGUAUAGAAAUAGUAUGGCAUG
Molecule: long non-coding RNA, 198 nt
Organism: Dermochelys coriacea (leatherback sea turtle)
Lineage: Eukaryota; Metazoa; Chordata; Testudines; Dermochelyidae
Exons: 3
Source: RefSeq, a predicted model, not a curated record